AUAUCUCCACAUGAUUCUGAAUUGCAUGUAACAAACUCACGUCAGUAUUAAAGGGACACUUGUGUUUUUAAUAAAUCUCUGAUUUUAUCUUAGUAAGGUUAAUAACUUGAAUUAAAUGCUGCACAAAUAUAUGCACUUAUUGUAAUAGAUGGAAUGUCAAGGUCAAUUUGAUUCUAAUAAUCCUAGCAAAAUGAAAGUAACAUCAUGAAAAAGAAGCCAUGCUUGGAAACAAAAGCUAAUUAAGAUUUUUUUAAUGCCCCAGAGAGAGAAGUGUACAGAGAAUAGUCACAGUUGGUUUAAGAUUGGCAACUCUGUUGGAUGUGACAGCACAUUCAGCUCAUCCCACACAGACACAGUCCAGCAUCUGGGAUGAUAAUUAUUAGACUUCAGAACACUUCUUGGAAAUAUUCCAUGUAUUAGGCUGCUUACAAAAGCAGGCUCUCUAGAAUUACCAUAGUAAUACAAGUAUAUUACUAAAUGCUUUAUCAAUAUUUAUUUAUCACUUUACUUCUGUGUUACAGCUAUUUCAUCAAGCCAAAAGAGUACUAAAGAUUUAAAGAAAUGAUGCUUAUAAAAAGUAAAUAUUUUGUUUUCCUUUUAAGAAUAAAUCACAUAAUUUGCAAUGCCAAAAUUUGAAACCCUGAAUACACUAUUUCUUUGAGAUAAUAUUGGUGAAUAAGAUCUCACAAAUAGAAUAAGCACAUGAGUCUAAUUUUAGAAUAAACUUUUAAAAUAGUUUAUUUAUUUUUUAUUUAUUUGACAGGUAGAGUUAUAGACAGUGAGAGAGAAGGACAGAGAGAAAAGCCUUCCUUCCAUUGGUUUACCCCCCAAAUGGCCGCCACAAUCAGGGCUGCGCUGAUCCGAAGCCAGGAGCCAGGUGCUUCUUGCUGGUCUCCCAUGCGGGUGCAGGGCCCAAGCACUUGGGCCAUCCUCCACUGCACUCCCGGGCCACAGCAGAGAGCUGGCCUGGAAGAAGAGCAACUGGGACUAGAACCCGGCAUCCACAUAGGAUCCGGAGGAUUAACCAAAUGUCCACCAGCCAUACCAAAGCAAGACUAUCUACAGCUAGAACCUUGGAACUGAAGUAAAAAUCAAGAAAAUGUGGGGGCUUCUCUGAAGAAGAAAAUCUGCCCAUGGAAAGCAUCUUCAGCUCAUGCCCAGGAGUUCCAGCCUGUAAUUCCUAAUAAGCAACCAUAUGGAUUUUACACUGGUCUAGGCCACCUGUUAACAAUUGUAUAAACUACCUUCUAGCAAUUAAUAUCUUAUUGCAGGGGCUGAUGCCAUGGCUUAGUAGGUAAAGCUGCUACCUGUGGUGCCAGCAUCCCAUGUGGGCACCAGUUUGAGUCCUGGCUGCUCCACUUCUGAUCCAGCUCUCUGCUAUGGCCUGGGAAAGCAAUAGAAGAUGGCACAAGUCCUUGGGCCCCUGCACCGCAUGGGAGACCCAGAAGAGGCUCCUGGCUUCGGAUCAGCACAGCUCUGGCCAUUGCGGCCAUUUGGGGAGUGAACCAUUGGAUGGAAGACAUGUCUCUCUCUCUCUCUCUCUCUCUCUCUCUCUCUCCCUGCCUCUCCUCUGUGUAAC
This is a non-coding RNA of Oryctolagus cuniculus (rabbit), 1579 nucleotides long. NCBI's taxonomy places the organism in Eukaryota, Metazoa, Chordata, Mammalia, Lagomorpha, Leporidae. The record is from RefSeq and is a predicted model, not a curated record.